RNAcentral lists this small RNA (981 nucleotides) under Histoplasma capsulatum. Its description in RNAcentral is "hypothetical RNA". The record is from RNAcentral. Lineage: Eukaryota; Fungi; Ascomycota; Eurotiomycetes; Onygenales; Ajellomycetaceae. RNAcentral also lists the same sequence under 1 other name.
GCAGCUGGCGAGGAGCUCUGAGGAGAGAAGACUCGGAAAAAGAAAACAGGCUCAAAAAUAGAGUUUGCAUGAAGGGUUUUGUUUGUCAUAACUACUCCUUCUUGGCUUAUGGCUCUGCAACAUUGUUUCAGCACGGUGACGGGCCUGGUCGUCGGCAUCCAAAUACCCUUUGAAGCUACGUACCUAUCUCCAUGAAGAUAGACCCAAACCAGGAGAUGGAUGACGCUCCGCUUCGAACCGCAAUGGCGAUAGUCUGUGUACCCUCCAGUGAACGUCAUACGAGCAGAGCGGGCAAUCAACCGAGCAAUAGCGGUUACCAACAAACACCUUCCCCUUCCCUUCCCUUCUAACUAACAAGGCAACGGGCAGAUAGACAAGUCGAUCUCAUCUGGCAUGUAAAAGAAGAUGAUGAAAGCUUGUCGCCAUUCAUUCAUUCGUUUCGCCGGGUCCCUCUAACUAUUGAUCACCUACUUGACAUAACAUCAACUCAAUCUAGAUAACUUACAUCCUGUAUUACUAUUUUCUUCCUGCGCUUUCCUCUAUUUUUUGAGACGCCGAGUCGUCUUCGCUUGACGGCCAGGCGCGUCGGAGCGCAUAUCUUCCAUCCAUCCAUCCAAAUGCGCAUUGUAACCUAAAUCUCACUCAGACGCCUCAGCGGAGAUUCUCGCGGCGGGGGGAUGCUCCGAAACGGUAGCAUCCAGAUCACUCGAUCCAUUUACCUCAUGCACAAAACAACAACUCUUCUUAAUUGGAGCCCAUGGGUUUUCUUAACACAAUUUAACGCUAGAUGUAUAUUUCGGGAAACCCACGCUGUUGACGAAAAAUUCUCCGCAGGCGUCCCUCUCCCUUGUUUGCAAAUCCGUCACUUUGCAAGAAUUCACUCUCCUCGCUUGGUUGCUCAACUGCCCAACUGGCUUAAUUGCUCAACGCUCCAUCUACAUACAUAUACUACUUCAUACUUUUUCUUUGAUUUAUCAACGG